This 423-nucleotide ribosomal RNA is filed under the name uncultured bacterium. Its description in RNAcentral is "bacterial SSU rRNA". It matches the Rfam family "Bacterial small subunit ribosomal RNA", at positions 207 to 622 of the family's 1533-position model. The record is from RNAcentral.
AAGACCUUGCACUUUUGGAGCGGCCGAUGUCUGGUUAGCUAGUUGGUGGGGUAAUGGCCUACCAAAGCUUCGAUCAGUAGCUGGUCUGAGAGGACGGCCAGCCACACUGGGACUGAGACACGGCCCAGACUCCUACGGGAGGCAGCAGUGGGGAAUUUUGGACAAUGGGCGCAAGCCUGAUCCAGCCAUGCCGCGUGAGUGAAGAAGGCCUUCGGGUUGUAAAGCUCUUUCAGCCGGGAAGAAAAGGUUGCGACUAAUAAUCGCAAUUCAUGACGGUACCGAAAGAAGAAGCACCGGCUAACUACGUGCCAGCAGCCGCGGUAAUACGUAGGGUGCGAGCGUUAAUCGGAAUUACUGGGCGUAAAGGGUGCGCAGGCGGUUUUGUAAGUCAGAUGUGAAAUCCCCGGGCUUAACCUGGGAACU